UUUCGGUUUUAAUCUAAAAGUAUAUUUUAAAAUGAAUGGAUGGUGUGGAUAAACCACAUACAUCACAGUAGGCCCCACGGAGCUUCCAACAGGACCGUCCCUCUCUAAUUCCUUCGUCGCAUGAACUACCAAUUCGGCACCAAAAAAACAGCUCCCGCGCCAGGUAAGAAAACCUUUGCUAUUCUUUUCUUUCCUGCACAAGGAAGCAAGAACGGAAGCCCUAGCCCACCUGCCUCGUGAGAUCAUCGACCCCACGAACCAGCACCUCAAGCGUGCAAUGGAUCUCUCCAUAAAGCACCCGAAGAUCUACAGGUCCUCCUCUUUCUCUAUACAUAUUUUUCGUUCAUCAAUUCAAUCGAUUUUAUUUUUUUUCUUCAGAUUCUGUCUUACUGUAGGUUAUAAAACGAGUUGCAAAUGAUUGAAUCUGUAUAGUUUACAUCAGUCUUUAUAUAUAAAAAUAAAUAAAUUAAAUUUGGUUAUGUUAUUCUUUGCCACCUUACAUGCUUGAUAAAAUGCCAAACGGCCCAAACUUGCUGUAUUGGGGAGAACCCUGCUUUAUUCUCCUGAGCUGGGUUUUUCUGUACAUGGUGUAAAAGAAAAGUUUUAUUGCUAUAACUUUUCUAAUAGAAACUUCACAAUGUACUAUAUAUGUAUAUCAGAUUUCAUGUGUACAGUUAUAAUGCUAAAAUUGACUGUUUAAAUCUGGGAAAACUGCCACAUGCAUAUAUAGAAAUGAUAAAAAUUCAGAUCAAACUGCACUCAGUUUCUUAAAAGAAACAUUUCAAUAAUUCUGCAGCAUCAGUUUUUUGCUUCUCCUAUGUACUGGUAUGAAGUAUUAAGCUUAAUUCUCUGAUAUGUUGUGCAGUCAUAGGCUGUGAUUGGACGGUUCUGUUGGUGGUAGAAAGCCAUUUGUUCGAAUAAAGCUACUGAUUCUGUUAAGCAUAUAGAAAUUUUGUAGUAAUCAUGGGAGGGAAUAGCUCUACUUUGGAAUCCUAUGAUAUCUACCAUAAAGAAUCCAGAGGGUAUUCAAGGAUUCCCAAUAACUACAACUCGCUCGAUCAGGUAAUUGAUUAUGGAGUUCAUAAGCUUUGGAAAUACAAUAACGUUGGGGUGUUUCAUGUAUUACCUACCUUGUCAAUUCCAUGUUGAAUUGCCUCAUUGAGCCGCUUGUGAAAACUAUCUGGUCCUCUUCUUAAUAGACCUUGAAUAAUAAAUAAUAAUUGCUUUCAAAGCUGAUGAUUGUAUUGUCUAUAUGCGCUAGCUGUUGGCUGAAAUGGAUAUUAGUUGAGUAGAUCCUGAGUAACUUUCUCAUCUUGCAAUUCUAUGGACAAGGCCCAACUAUAUUAUAUGUAGGGAUUUUCAAAAUAAUUUACUUUUAAAUAUUUCAGGCACUCUUGAUCCUCAUGCAAACAUCACCAUCAUGGAGAGCUGGAUGAAAAGGCAAAAAUCAUACAUGAGGAUUUGGCCAAUCACUCCCGCGUACAGAGCUUGACAUUUCUAAUAAAAUAGCAAGGUAUUCGUUGACCCAGCUGAUUCAUCCCAGAAACCGAAGUGAAGGCUGAAUGUUGAGUUCUGAACAUACAUGGAUACAUCUACAUGAAUUAGUCAAGCAUUCUAGUUUGCUCAUUGUUUUGUCUAUUGUAGUUCUUUUGACAUUGGAGUGUGCAUGACUGUUUGAUUUUCGGUGGAUUGAUAGAGAAAUUGUAAUGUUACAAAACCUGAAUGUUUGGACUGAGCGUUGAGGCCCAUGUGUUGGAAAUGUAUGUGCUUGUAUUUUU
Magnolia sinica is the source of this 1778-nucleotide long non-coding RNA. RefSeq lists it as uncharacterized. The record is from RefSeq and is a predicted model, not a curated record. Lineage: Eukaryota; Viridiplantae; Streptophyta; Magnoliopsida; Magnoliales; Magnoliaceae. The transcript is spliced from 5 exons.